This 564-nucleotide long non-coding RNA is filed under the name Pan troglodytes (chimpanzee). RNAcentral describes it as "lincRNA". The record is from RNAcentral. Lineage: Eukaryota; Metazoa; Chordata; Mammalia; Primates; Hominidae.
GUCCUGGAUUCUGCUUUAUGGCCCUCAGUCGAAUUCUUUCUUCUGAGGAGGCAAGGACUGAAGUUGCUUCUGACCAGUACAGUUUCCCUGACUCUUAGAGCCUUGGAGCAGUGUGUGUCAUGUGCUGCACACCCAGGCUGGAACAGCCUGUCUCCAGCAGAAAACGAAUACAGCAGGGAUGACUUCCACCAGCUCCACUUUGCAGCUCUGAGGUGUAUUAAAAAUGACCUGGAAGAAGUCAUGCCACGGGCCAGACCUUAACAUUCCUUUCUGCUUACCCCAGGAUUUCAGACAAAGCUUCACUUUCCUAACCAGUCACAAAUCAGAGAAUUUUUGAAUCCACCUAUGACCUGUGAGCUCCUGCUUCAAGAUAUUCCACCUUUUUUAGGCCAAACCAAUGUAUAACCUCCAAGUGUCGAUUUACACUUUUGACUGUAACUUCUGCUUUCCUGAGAUUUACCCCUGCCUUUAAAAACCCUUGCUUGUAAUCCAUCAGGGAGGCCGUGUAUUUAUUAAUCAUGAGCUGCCCAAUUCUCCUUGCUUGGUGCCCUGCAAAUAAACACC